GAGUUUGAUCAUGGCUCAGAUUGAACGCUGGCGGAAUGCUUUACACAUGCAAGUCGAGCGGCAGCGCGGGGCAACCUGGCGGCGAGCGGCGAACGGGUGAGUAAUGCAUCGGAACGUGUCCAUGUCGUGGGGGAUAGCCCGGCGAAAGCCGGAUUAAUACCGCAUACGCCCGAGAGGGGAAAGUGGGGGACCGCAAGGCCUCACGCGAUUGGGUCGGCCGAUGUCCGAUUAGCUAGUUGGCGGGGUAAAGGCCCACCAAGGCAAUGAUCGGUAGCUGGUCUGAGAGGAUGAUCAGCCACACUGGGACUGAGACACGGCCCAGACUCCUACGGGAGGCAGCAGUGGGGAAUUUUGGACAAUGGGGGCAACCCUGAUCCAGCCAUUCCGCGUGAGUGAAGAAGGCC
Molecule: ribosomal RNA, 404 nt
Filed under: uncultured beta proteobacterium
Lineage: Bacteria; Pseudomonadati; Pseudomonadota; Betaproteobacteria
Description: bacterial SSU rRNA
Rfam family: Bacterial small subunit ribosomal RNA
Source: RNAcentral